CGGUGGUUGCUUCGGAGA
Molecule: non-coding RNA, 18 nt
Filed under: Arabidopsis thaliana (thale cress)
Lineage: Eukaryota; Viridiplantae; Streptophyta; Magnoliopsida; Brassicales; Brassicaceae
Source: RNAcentral